Molecule: ribosomal RNA, 432 nt
Filed under: Triticum aestivum (bread wheat)
Lineage: Eukaryota; Viridiplantae; Streptophyta; Magnoliopsida; Poales; Poaceae
Description: partial small subunit ribosomal RNA
Source: RNAcentral
AUGGAAGGCAUUGACUUCGAUGAAACAUUUACUCCUGUGGCUAGAUUUGAAGCCAUACGCAUACUGCUGACCUAUGCAAAUCAUCACAACAUGCUUUUAUAUCAAAUGGAUGUGAAGAGCGUCUUUCUCAAUGGCAAGAUUGAAGAAGAAGUGUAUGUUACACAACCGCCUGGCUUUGAAGAUCCAAAACAUCCUGACAUGGUAUACAAGCUCAACAAGGCAUUGUAUGGCCGCAAACAAGCCUCUCGGGCCUGGUAUGACACACUCAAAUACUUCCUGAAGAGUAAAGGCUUCAUACCUGGUUCCCUAGACCCCACUCUCUUCACAAAAACAUAUGAUGGUGAACUGUUUGUGUGCCAAAUAUAUGUGAAUGACAUUAUCUUCGGCUGCACCAAUCAGAAAUACAGUGAAGAGUUUGGAUAUAUGAUGUAA